RNAcentral lists this ribosomal RNA (292 nucleotides) under uncultured bacterium. RNAcentral describes it as "partial 16S ribosomal RNA". It matches the Rfam family "Bacterial small subunit ribosomal RNA", at positions 505 to 796 of the family's 1533-position model. The record is from RNAcentral.
GUGUCAGCCGCCGCGGUAAUACGUAGGGGGCAAGCGUUGUCCGGAUUUAUUGGGCGUAAAGAGCGUGUAGGCGGCCAGGUAGGUCCGUUGUGAAAACUCGAGGCUCAACCUCGAGACGCCGAUGGAAACCAUCUGGCUAGAGUCCGGAAGAGGAGAGUGGAAUUCCCGGUGUAGCGGUGAAAUGCGCAGAUAUCGGGAAGAACACCCGUGGCUAAGGCGGCUCUCUAGUACGGUACUGACGCUGAGACGCGAAAGCGUGGGGAGCGAACAGGAUUAGAAACCCGAGUAGUCC